GAACCUUCGGGGGAACUGAUGGUGUAGCGCGAAACUUCCAAGAAAUAACCUCUAGUUGUUGAUGGUGACCGUACCAAAACCGACACAGGUGGGUGUGAAGAAUAUUCUCAGGCGCGCGAGAGAACGCUCGUUAAGGAACUCUGCAAAUUAUGCUCGUAACUUCGGGAAAAGAGCAGCCGCAGGCCGUGACAUACCUCGCGUAUGAAGCGGAAGGCGGUCGAAGCGAAAUGGCCCAGGCGACUGUUUAACAAAAACACAGCACUCUGCUAAGUCGUCUAAGACGAUGUAUAGGGUGUGAAGCCUGCCCAAUGCCAAAAGGUCAAAAGGAGGUGUCAGCCGCAAGGCGAAGCACUGAAUUUAAGCCCUGGUGAAUGGCGGCCGUAACUAUAACGGUCCUAAGGUAGCGAAAUUCCUUGUCGGGUAAGUUCCGACCUGCACGAAUGGCCUAACGAUCUGGGCACUGUCUCGACGAGCGACUCGGUGAAAUUGUAGUAGCGGUGAAGAUGCCGUUUACCCGCAACAAGACGGAAAGACCCCGUGAACCUUUACUGUACUCUGAUAUGGGCUUCUAACUUUUCAUGUGUAGGAUAACCAGGAGACUAAGAAGUCGGCUCGUUAGGGCUGAUGGAGUCAACGUUGAAAUACUGGUCUUGAAAGGUCGGAAAUCUAACCUCAUCCCCGUGAAGCCGGGAGAGGGACAGUGUCAGACGGGCAGUUUGACUGGGGCGGUAUCCUCCCAAAAAGUAACGGAGGAGUCCAAAGCUUACUUCAUUGUGGUUGGCAAUCACAAAUCGAGCGUAAAGGUAUAAAGUAGGUUAACUGCGAGACCAGCGAGUCAAGCAGGUACGAAAGUAGGGCUUAGUGAUCCGGCGGUUGAAAGUGGAAUCGCCGUCGCUUAACGGAUAAAAGGUACUCCGGGGAUAACAGGCUUAUCGCCACCAAGAGUUCAUAUCGACGUGGCGGUUUGGCACCUCGAUGUCGACUCAUCACAUCCUGGGGCUGGAGAAGGUCCCAAGGGUUUGGCUGUUCGCCAAUUAAAGUGGUACGUGAGUUGGGUUCAAAACGUCGUGAGACAGUUUGGUCCCUAUCUGUUGUGGGCGUAGGAUACUUGAGAAGAGCUGCUUCUAGUACGAGAGGACCGAAGUGGACGAACCAAUGGUGUUCCGGUUGUACUGCCAAGUGCAUAGCCGGGUAGCUAUGUUCGGAAAGGAUAAGCGUUGAAAGCAUCUAAACGCCAAGCCUCCUUCAAGAUAAGGUAUCCCUAUGAGACCCCCUGAAGACUACAGGGUUGAUAGGUGAGAUGUGUACGCACAGUAAUGUGUUUAGCUAACUCAUACUAAUUGGUCCAUUGGCUUAGAUCA
Molecule: ribosomal RNA, 1361 nt
Filed under: marine metagenome
Description: bacterial LSU rRNA
Rfam family: Bacterial large subunit ribosomal RNA
Source: RNAcentral